This is a long non-coding RNA of Zingiber officinale, 1581 nucleotides long. RefSeq lists it as uncharacterized. The transcript has 2 exons. Lineage: Eukaryota; Viridiplantae; Streptophyta; Magnoliopsida; Zingiberales; Zingiberaceae. The record is from RefSeq and is a predicted model, not a curated record.
CAAACAUCCAACUCUAAAACAAAGCCCAUUUUACUAAAAAAAUUCUCCUUUGCCUUCCUCCCAGCGUGCUAGCGAAGAGAAGAGAAUCAUCGGACCCAAAUUACUCAAUGAAGGAACUCAACUAUUGGAGCGAAAUUGCACGAUCUGUCUCCCUUGCUCCCAGUGAAAAAACACAACGAAGGAGGCUUCAAACUCAGCAAAGGAUUCAACCCAUCUGCCUUCAGGUUACUCUUACUCGUUCACUCCAGCCCCUUCUUCCCGUCCCUUCAUCCGUGACCCCUAAAUGAGUACUCUCCCUUCAAGCCGUUCGAAAAAUUCCGGGUAAUGACAAGCUCCCUUCAAAAUUCAGGGCUACAAGAUCUAGGAAUUGAGGGAGACCAACGAAUCAGCUCGAUCCAAAUGGUUCAAUAAAAGCUAUCGAGAGUUAAGUUCGAUUUCUAGAUUAAGAAAGGAGAAAAGCCCAAUUUCACAAGCCCAGGAAGAAAUUGCAAAUCCGAUUCAAUUUGGAUUCAGUGGUUUAAGCUUCAAUUCUAGUUCGGUUCAGGGCCGGUUCAGUGGAAGCUUUAAAGGGUGAUUUUCUGCUCAAAGCAUUCUCGGCUCGGGUUUUCUCUUUGCACUGUGCGCGACUCUGCUCGCGUUUUCUCCCCCCAACACCCCCGAGUAUCCUUUCUUCUCCGAUCUGCUUCAAGCGGCGACGGCACAACGUUCCUUCCAGCGACUGCGAGUGAUGGCGAUGCCACGCUGACCGUGCUCAACUCACCAGAGGCGUUCUUUGGUGAGUCUCCUUCUUCCAUUUCUUCGUUAAUUCCCUGCUUGAGCAAUUCCGGAAGUAGGGUUCAAGGCAGUGGUGGUAGCAGCGAGCUCUGGUCAUCUCCAGCUCAUCGGAGGGGUUCUAUGAUGUUUCUUCACAUUUCGGCACCUUUUCUGAGGAUCUUUGCCUCCAGCGGGUUGCAAUGGCAGAGGAUUCCAAAGAGGGCGACGGCUGUGCAACUUCUUCUCUAGCGAGUUUCUUAUUCCAUCACUGAGCUCUGUGGAGGGUUUCUUCUAUAGACGGCGUUGCGAAAGCAGGAGUGUAUCCAGAGAUUUCAGUGUGUUUAGUCCUUUUCUGGCAGAAGCUUCACCAGUCGUUCCUUCUUCACAAUUCCGGCAGAAAUCACACAAGAAAAUCCAGCACUGUGUGCUGUGGAGCCCUUCUUCUGUGGAUUGUGUUGCAGAAGAACAAGACUUCUCCAUUUCAGUGAACAAUUCCAUUCCAAUCAAUUCUAGUCGGAUACGUCAUUGUUCGUGAUCAGCAGUUGGUCGUUUAUGAUGUUAUCCACCGGCUUUGGCAUUCCAGAUUUAGGUCCUUCGUAUGAUGGCGAAGGGUAGUCGACUCAGAGUGGAUCGUGAAAGAGGAAGUUUGGUUAACUUAGUUUAAAUCAUGUCGAUGUUUAUUAAUCAUGGUUGAAUGCUUGUAUUGAACUUGAUUUCUCAUGUUUGAAUUGUACGUAUCAUGCUUAAAUACUUUCAUGCACACAACUUGUUUGGUGAAUUAUUUCAACCAGUAGUUAAGUUUAAUUUGAUGCAUUUUACUUUCCUUCA